Molecule: ribosomal RNA, 454 nt
Filed under: uncultured bacterium
Lineage: Bacteria
Description: partial 16S ribosomal RNA
Rfam family: Bacterial small subunit ribosomal RNA
Source: RNAcentral
GAUGAACGCUGACAGAAUGCUUAACACAUGCAAGUCUACUUGAACUUCGGUUUGGGUGGCGGACGGAUGAGUAACGCGUAAAGAACUUGCCUCACAGUUAGGGACAACAUUUGGAAACGAAUGCUACUACCUGAUAUUAUUAUUUUAGGGCAUCCUAUACUUCUGAAAGCUAUAUGCGCUGUGAGAGAGCUGUUCGUCCCAUUAGCUAGUUGGAGGGGUAACGGCUCACCAAGGCGAUGAUGGGUAGCCGGCCUGAGAGAGUGAACGGCCGCAAGGGGACUGAGACACGGCCCUUACUACUACGGGAGGGAGGAGUGGGGAAUAUUGGACAAUGAACCAAAAGUCUGAUCCAGCAGUUCUGUGUGCACGAUGACGUUUUUCGGAAUGUAAAGUGCUUUCAGUUGGGAAGAAAAAAAUGACGGUACCAACAGAAGAAGUGACGGCUAAAUACGUG